This 24-nucleotide non-coding RNA is filed under the name Rattus norvegicus (Norway rat). The record is from RNAcentral. Lineage: Eukaryota; Metazoa; Chordata; Mammalia; Rodentia; Muridae.
UCCAGAGAGAAAGAGGGGACCCAC